RNAcentral lists this ribosomal RNA (272 nucleotides) under uncultured bacterium. RNAcentral describes it as "partial 16S ribosomal RNA". It matches the Rfam family "Bacterial small subunit ribosomal RNA", at positions 524 to 794 of the family's 1533-position model. The record is from RNAcentral.
UACGUAGGGGGCGAGCGUUGUCCGGAUUCAUUGGGCGUAAAGAGCUCGUAGGCGGUUCGGCAAGUCGGGUGUGAAAACUCCAGGCUCAACCUGGAGACGCCACCCGAUACUGCUGUGACUCGAGUCCGGUAGGGGACCACGGAAUUCCUGGUGUAGCGGUGAAAUGCGCAGAUAUCAGGAGGAACACCGGUGGCGAAGGCGGGUCGUCUGGGCCGGAACUGACGCUGAGGAGCGAAAGCGUGGGGAGCGAACAGGAUUAGAACCCGUACCGU